AGGAAGCCGGUGCGAGUCCGGCGCGGUCCCGCCACUGUGACCGGGGAGCGAUCCUCCCGAGUGCGCCACCGGGGCCAAGGCCCCGGGAAGGCCGGAGGGGAGCGGUGAUCCGGGAGCCAGGACACU
This 126-nucleotide non-coding RNA is filed under the name Streptoalloteichus hindustanus. Lineage: Bacteria; Bacillati; Actinomycetota; Actinomycetes; Pseudonocardiales; Pseudonocardiaceae. The record is from RNAcentral.